This 490-nucleotide ribosomal RNA is filed under the name uncultured bacterium. RNAcentral's name for it is "partial 16S ribosomal RNA". It matches the Rfam family "Bacterial small subunit ribosomal RNA", at positions 28 to 507 of the family's 1533-position model. The record is from RNAcentral.
GAUGAACGCUAGCUACAGGCUUAACACAUGCAAGUCGCGGGGCAGCAUGGGGGUUGCUUGCAACUCCCGAUGGCGACCGGCGCACGGGUGAGUAACGCGUAUCCAACCUGCCCUUCACCACGGGAUAACCCGGCGAAAGUCGGACUAAUACCGUAUGUUGUCCAUUGACGGCAUCCGAUUUGGACGAAAGGCGUUCCGGUGAAGGGUGGGGAUGCGUCCGAUUAGCCAGACGGCGGGGUAACGGCCCACCGUGGCUACGAUCGGUAGGGGUUCUGAGAGGAAGGUCCCCCACACUGGAACUGAGACACGGUCCAGACUCCUACGGGAGGCAGCAGUGAGGAAUAUUGGUCAAUGGGCGUAAGCCUGAACCAGCCAAGUAGCGUGCAGGAUGACGGCCCUAUGGGUUGUAAACUGCUUUUAUGCGGGGAUAAAGUGGCCCACGUGUGGGCUUUUGCAGGUACCGCAUGAAUAAGGACCGGCUAAUUCCGUG